RNAcentral lists this ribosomal RNA (938 nucleotides) under Bacillus licheniformis. Its description in RNAcentral is "bacterial SSU rRNA". It matches the Rfam family "Bacterial small subunit ribosomal RNA", at positions 45 to 963 of the family's 1533-position model. The record is from RNAcentral. Lineage: Bacteria; Bacillati; Bacillota; Bacilli; Caryophanales; Bacillaceae.
UGCCUAAUACAUGCAAGUCGAGCGGACCGACGGGAGCUUGCUCCCUUAGGUCAGCGGCGGACGGGUGAGUAACACGUGGGUAACCUGCCUGUAAGACUGGGAUAACUCCGGGAAACCGGGGCUAAUACCGGAUGCUUGAUUGAACCGCAUGGUUCAAUCAUAAAAGGUGGCUUUUAGCUACCACUUACAGAUGGACCCGCGGCGCAUUAGCUAGUUGGUGAGGUAACGGCUCACCAAGGCGACGAUGCGUAGCCGACCUGAGAGGGUGAUCGGCCACACUGGGACUGAGACACGGCCCAGACUCCUACGGGAGGCAGCAGUAGGGAAUCUUCCGCAAUGGACGAAAGUCUGACGGAGCAACGCCGCGUGAGUGAUGAAGGUUUUCGGAUCGUAAAACUCUGUUGUUAGGGAAGAACAAGUACCGUUCGAAUAGGGCGGUACCUUGACGGUACCUAACCAGAAAGCCACGGCUAACUACGUGCCAGCAGCCGCGGUAAUACGUAGGUGGCAAGCGUUGUCCGGAAUUAUUGGGCGUAAAGCGCGCGCAGGCGGUUUCUUAAGUCUGAUGUGAAAGCCCCCGGCUCAACCGGGGAGGGUCAUUGGAAACUGGGGAACUUGAGUGCAGAAGAGGAGAGUGGAAUUCCACGUGUAGCGGUGAAAUGCGUAGAGAUGUGGAGGAACACCAGUGGCGAAGGCGACUCUCUGGUCUGUAACUGACGCUGAGGCGCGAAAGCGUGGGGAGCGAACAGGAUUAGAUACCCUGGUAGUCCACGCCGUAAACGAUGAGUGCUAAGUGUUAGAGGGUUUCCGCCCUUUAGUGCUGCAGCAAACGCAUUAAGCACUCCGCCUGGGGAGUACGGUCGCAAGACUGAAACUCAAAGGAAUUGACGGGGGCCCGCACAAGCGGUGGAGCAUGUGGUUUAAUUCGAAGCAACGCG